RNAcentral lists this ribosomal RNA (301 nucleotides) under uncultured bacterium. RNAcentral describes it as "partial 16S ribosomal RNA". It matches the Rfam family "Bacterial small subunit ribosomal RNA", at positions 509 to 807 of the family's 1533-position model. The record is from RNAcentral.
CAGUAGCCGCGGGAAUACAGAGGAUGCAAGCGUUAUCCGGAAUGAUUGGGCGUAAAGCGUCUGUAGGUGGCUUCUCAAGUCCGCCGUCAAAUCCCAGGGCUCAACCCUGGACAGGCGGUGGAAACUACCAAGCUGGAGUACGGUAGGGGCAGAGGGAAUUUCCGGUGGAGCGGUGGAAUGCGUUGAGAUCGGAAAGAACACCAACGGCGAAAGUACUCUGCUGGGCCGACACUGGCACUGAGAGACGAAAGCUAGGGGAGCAAAUGGGAUUAGAUACCCGGGUAGUCCCUGUCUCUUAUAC